This 428-nucleotide ribosomal RNA is filed under the name uncultured bacterium. Its description in RNAcentral is "partial 16S ribosomal RNA". It matches the Rfam family "Bacterial small subunit ribosomal RNA", at positions 354 to 796 of the family's 1533-position model. The record is from RNAcentral.
GUGGGGAAUAUUCCGCAAUGGACGAAAGUCUGACGGAGCAACGCCGCGUGAGGGAAGAAGGUCUUCGGAUUGUAAACCUCUGUCCUUGGGGACGAAAAAAAUGACGGUACCCAAGGAGGAAGCUCCGGCUAACUACGUGCCAGCAGCCGCGGUAAUACGUAGGGAGCGAGCGUUGUCCGGAAUUACUGGGCGUAAAGGGUGCGUAGGCGGCAUGGCAAGUCAGAUGUGAAAUCCCCGGGCUUAACUCGGGGGGUGCAUUUGAAACUACCUUGCUUGAGUGCAGGAGAGGAAAGCGGAAUUCCUAGUGUAGCGGUGAAAUGCGUAGAUAUUAGGAAGAACACCAGUGGCGAAGGCGGCUUUCUGGACGGUGUCUGACACUGAGGCGCGAAAGCCAGGGGAGCGAACGGGAUUAGAUACCCUUGUAGUCC